CGUGCCUAUACAUGCAAGUCGAGCGGACAGAUGGGAGCUUGCUCCCUGAUGUUAGCGGCGGACGGGUGAGUAACACGUGGGUAACCUGCCUGUAAGACUGGGAUAACUCCGGGAAACCGGGGCUAAUACCGGAUGGUUGUUUGAACCGCAUGGUUCAAACAUAAAAGGUGGCUUCGGCUACCACUUACAGAUGGACCCGCGGCGCAUUAGCUAGUUGGUGAGGUAACGGCUCACCAAGGCAACGAUGCGUAGCCGACCUGAGAGGGUGAUCGGCCACACUGGGACUGAGACACGGCCCAGACUCCUACGGGAGGCAGCAGUAGGGAAUCUUCCGCAAUGGACGAAAGUCUGACGGAGCAACGCCGCGUGAGUGAUGAAGGUUUUCGGAUCGUAAAGCUCUGUUGUUAGGGAAGAACAAGUACCGUUCGAAUAGGGCGGUACCUUGACGGUACCUAACCAGAAAGCCACGGCUAACUACGUGCCAGCAGCCGCGGUAAUACGUAGGUGGCAAGCGUUGUCCGGAAUUAUUGGGCGUAAAGGGCUCGCAGGCGGUUUCUUAAGUCUGAUGUGAAAGCCCCCCGGCUCAACCGGGGAGGGUCAUUGGGAAACUGGGGAACU
This 618-nucleotide ribosomal RNA is filed under the name Bacillus subtilis. RNAcentral's name for it is "bacterial SSU rRNA". It matches the Rfam family "Bacterial small subunit ribosomal RNA", at positions 43 to 642 of the family's 1533-position model. The record is from RNAcentral. Lineage: Bacteria; Bacillati; Bacillota; Bacilli; Caryophanales; Bacillaceae.